GGUGGUCUAAUACCUCAUAAUAUCCAUCUCGUAUGGAUUAAAGCUUUAUGCGCUUUGGGAGGGGCCUGCGUAACAUUAGCUUGUUGGUGAGGUAAAGCUCACCAAGGCUUCGAUGUUUAACUGGUUUGAGAGGAUGACCAGUCACACUGGACUGAGAUACGGCCCAGACUCCUACGGGAGGCAGCAGUAAGGAAUCUUCCACAAUGGGGCAACCCUGAUGGAGCAAUACCGCGUGCAGGAUGAAGCGUUUCGGCGUGUAAACUGCUUUUAUCACCGAAGAUUAUGACUGUAGGUGAAGAAUAAGGACCGGCUAACUACGUG
RNAcentral lists this ribosomal RNA (321 nucleotides) under uncultured bacterium. Its description in RNAcentral is "bacterial SSU rRNA". It matches the Rfam family "Bacterial small subunit ribosomal RNA", at positions 157 to 507 of the family's 1533-position model. The record is from RNAcentral.